RNAcentral lists this long non-coding RNA (249 nucleotides) under Lathyrus oleraceus (garden pea). Its description in RNAcentral is "Pisum sativum (pea) long non-coding RNA (PSAT_LNC021589)". The record is from RNAcentral. Lineage: Eukaryota; Viridiplantae; Streptophyta; Magnoliopsida; Fabales; Fabaceae.
UCCAAAUGAGUUGAAAUUUAACAUGCUUACCAUGAUGUGGGUUGUGAUUGAUAAUGAUUUAUUUGAUGAUUUUUGGAAAUGUUUAAGAUUGCUUUUGUUUCAAGUCUUGCUGUUGACUUCUAUGGGCUUCUAAAUGCCAUGCUUUGACUUCUUUUGCUUAUAAAAUGAUGAUAAUGAUUGAUAUGAAUGUGAAACCAAUUGGGUUUAUUUCUUGAUUGUUUGAACAUGAUUUUGGACACUUGCCAUUUG